Molecule: ribosomal RNA, 167 nt
Filed under: uncultured Pseudomonas sp.
Lineage: Bacteria; Pseudomonadati; Pseudomonadota; Gammaproteobacteria; Pseudomonadales; Pseudomonadaceae
Description: partial 16S ribosomal RNA
Source: RNAcentral
UAAGCACCGGCUAACUCGGUGCCAGCAGCCGCGGUAAUAGGAGCCACGCCCUAAUACGGCCCGAGCCAGCAGCCGGGGGCGGUGGAUAUUAGCACCGGCUAACUUUGUGCCAGCAGCCGCAAUAAUACGGGAGCCAGCAGCCAAUACGGGAGCCAGCAGCCGCGGUA